RNAcentral lists this ribosomal RNA (426 nucleotides) under uncultured bacterium. RNAcentral's name for it is "partial 16S ribosomal RNA". It matches the Rfam family "Bacterial small subunit ribosomal RNA", at positions 28 to 526 of the family's 1533-position model. The record is from RNAcentral.
GACGAACGCUGGCGGCGUGCUUAACACAUGCAAGUCGAGCGGAGCGGCGGACGGGUGAGUAACGCGUGAGUAACUGCCCCCCUCUCUGUGAUAACAGUUGGAAACGGCUGCUAAUACCUGAUAUUGGGGGAUGACUCGGGUCCUAUCAGCUUGUUGGUGGGGUAGUGGCCUACCAAGGCGACGACGGGUACCCGGCCUGGGCGGGCGAACGGCCAAAUUGGGCUGGGAUACGGCCCAAACUCCUACGGGAGGCCGCCGGGGGGAAUAUUGCACAAUGGGGGAAAACCUGAUGAAGCAACGCCGCGGGCUGGAUGACGGCCUUCGGGUUGUAAAGCUAUGUUAAGCGGGACGGUGAAUAGCUUAAGGAAGUGACGGUACCGGAAAAGCAAGCAACGGCUAACUACGUGCCAGCAGCCGCGGUAAUUC